RNAcentral lists this ribosomal RNA (346 nucleotides) under Escherichia coli. Its description in RNAcentral is "bacterial SSU rRNA". It matches the Rfam family "Bacterial small subunit ribosomal RNA", at positions 1 to 343 of the family's 1533-position model. The record is from RNAcentral. Lineage: Bacteria; Pseudomonadati; Pseudomonadota; Gammaproteobacteria; Enterobacterales; Enterobacteriaceae.
AAAUUGAAGAGUUUGAUCAUGGCUCAGAUUGAACGCUGGCGGCAGGCCUAACACAUGCAAGUCGAACGGUAACAGGAAGCAGCUUGCUGCUUCGCUGACGAGUGGCGGACGGGUGAGUAAUGUCUGGGAAACUGCCUGAUGGAGGGGGAUAACUACUGGAAACGGUAGCUAAUACCGCAUAAUGUCGCAAGACCAAAGAGGGGGACCUUCGGGCCUCUUGCCAUCGGAUGUGCCCAGAUGGGAUUAGCUUGUUGGUGGGGUAACGGCUCACCAAGGCGACGAUCCCUAGCUGGUCUGAGAGGAUGACCAGCCACACUGGAACUGAGACACGGUCCAGACUCCUACG